CCGUCUUAUCACAAGUCCCUCUUGUGGUUUACGUAAUUGCGUCCAAAAAGGGACCAUACCAUUCCAAUUCCAUUUCCACACCACAGGGCCUAGGCCAGCUUGCUAUCUCUUUUCAAUUCCUCCACAAUCCCCACCUUCUUAAAUAUAGUAUUCCUGCUUAGCUCUACACAAUUCGUGAUAAGUUCUCUGUUUCAACACUUUUAAUAUUAAAAGUUUCCUUUGCCAUUCUCCAUAUCCCAUGUAAUGUAUCCAGGUAAGAAUAAAAAUUAGCUGUUUAAUUAAGUAAAAUGACAUUCUCCCUCCCAUAGAACAGGACAUAUUGGAAGAUAUCAUGUCAAUGCUCUCUUAUAUCUUUCCAUUUUACGCAUCUAAUGACGGUGAGCUCCAUCCAUUGCUUUUGCACACCACCACACAUAUAUGACUUGACAUCACUCUUUCUCUUCUUUGAGGAUGUGGCCCCAUAUUAUAUUUGGGUAUCCAUUUCCAAUAUUAUUUAUCAUCUUCAAUUUCUUUCCAUGGUACUAAUGAUCCUGCUUUGUUCCAAGGUUCAAGGAUCUAUCAGAUGGCUAAGAUUCUCCUGAUCAAAUAUCAGUUACAUCUUACACUACACUGUCCGUACACUUUUGCAUGUGCUGUGUAAGUGGCGAAAGGGACAAUGCUCAAUGAGAUGUAUAUAAUAUUAAUUUUAGUUGAAGUUGAAAGAGAAAGUAAUAAUAAUCACUUUCACCUUCCAUGUCAAUAGUAUUUUCUUGAUGAGUUAUUAUGAUUUUGGUAGAAUUUGUUAAUCACUAAUUGUCAUUGCUUAACCAUAAUUCAAGUGUUCAGAUAAAAUUUUAUCCUUUUUCAAUAGUUAUCUGUUUGGCUUCUUGCACACCUGCAUGGAUAAUGGACUCUAACUUCGUGGCAUUGGCAGCCUGUCCACUCUCCCUACAUAUUUAUAUUUACUUAUUAUCCUUUCUUUAUUGCCUGUAGGGUCACCUCCACAUUACUCCUUACCCAACAAAGAAACUUCCCCACGGCCACCUCGUCUCAGAAAACGCCUCUCUCUCUCUCUCUCCCUCAACGAUGGACAGCCCCAAAAGAAUAGCCAGCCAAGGACCCCGACUACUUCCCUCUUCACGCAGAAGCGGAAAAAGAAGCAGCUAUUCCAACUCCCCCGAAUUCGAGUUCUGGAUGGUCCGAAAUCCGUCCUUUCCAGAGCCUGAUCUACUUUCCGCCGAUGAACUCUUUGUUGAUGGGGUCCUCCUUCCUCUCCACUUAAUCCACCUCCACAGCCACCACCCAGAGACAACAGAUUCGCAACCAGACCCUAAACCGCCCAACGCACAGCCGGAGGCAGAACCCCAAAUAUCACAUAACAACAUAGCAGCAGAGACCAAUCCUUUAACCGCUUCAAAGAGAUGGAAAGAUAUCUUCAAAAAAACUUCAACAGCAAAGAGCCAAGAAGAUAAGAAUAAAGAUAAAGAGAAGGAGAAGGAGAGAGAAAAGAAGAGAGAGAAAAAGAGUCAAGGUGGAGCAAGUUCUUCAGCCGAGUUGAAUAUCAAUAUAUGGCCAUUUUCACGCAGUAGAUCCGCAGGGAACAGUGGAGCCCGACCCAGAAUAUUUCCUGGAACCCGAAAGGUGAGCAGCGCACCUUGCUCGCGGAGUAAUUCAGCGGGGGAGUCAAAGUCAAGAAAGUGGCUGAGUAGUCCGGGUAGGGGUACUGGAGUCCAUCUGGGGAGGAGCAGCCCGGUUUGGCAGGUGCGGCGUGGAGGUGGAGUUACAGAAGCAAAGAGUGGUUACUCAGAGGCAGUGAAUCGGAGCGGUAAAAAGAUGACGAGUAAAACAAGAAAGGAAGAUGGCAAAGUUGUAAAUUUGAAUGUGCCAAUGUGUAAUGGAUGUACGGAGCCAUUAAAUUGUAGGAGCAGCAGCUCUAAAUCUAAUGUUGCAGGUGGUGGGACUGGUAAUCUUUUCAGUAUACGCAGCCUCUUCACAAAAAAGGUGUACUGAGUAAUGUAUACUACUCAUAAUUAACCCCCUAGCUAAUUAUAUACUACUCCAUAUGUUUUUGUUUCCACCAUAUAUGUUAAGUUUGAUUCUGAUGUACGUGUUUUCCUUAAGUUGUGUAAUUAAUUUACUAAUUAAUAGAGAAAAAAGGUGA
Molecule: unclassified non-coding RNA, 2140 nt
Filed under: Hevea brasiliensis (rubber tree)
Lineage: Eukaryota; Viridiplantae; Streptophyta; Magnoliopsida; Malpighiales; Euphorbiaceae
Source: RNAcentral